CCUACGGGAGGCUGCAGUGGGGAAUAUUGGACAAUGGGCGAAAGCCUGAUCCAGCCAUGCCGCGUGUGUGAAGAAGGCCUUCGGGUUGUAAAGCACUUUCAGUGGGGAAGAAAGCCUUGGGGCUAAUACCCUCGAGGAAGGACAUCACCCACAGAAGAAGCACCGGCUAACUCCGUGCCAGCAGCCGCGGUAAUACGGAGGGUGCGAGCGUUAAUCGGAAUUACUGGGCGUAAAGCGCGCGUAGGCGGUCUGAUAAGCCGGUUGUGAAAGCCCCGGGCUCAACCUGGGAACGGCAUCCGGAACUGUCAGGCUAGAGUGCAGGAGAGGAAGGUAGAAUUCCCGGUGUAGCGGUGAAAUGCGUAGAGAUCGGGAGGAAUACCAGUGGCGAAGGCGGCCUUCUGGACUGACACUGACGCUGAGGUGCGAAAGCGUGGGUAGCAAACAGGAUUAGAUACCUAGUAGUC
This 464-nucleotide ribosomal RNA is filed under the name Vreelandella stevensii. RNAcentral's name for it is "partial 16S ribosomal RNA". It matches the Rfam family "Bacterial small subunit ribosomal RNA", at positions 338 to 795 of the family's 1533-position model. Lineage: Bacteria; Pseudomonadati; Pseudomonadota; Gammaproteobacteria; Oceanospirillales; Halomonadaceae. The record is from RNAcentral.